Molecule: long non-coding RNA, 566 nt
Organism: Felis catus (domestic cat)
Lineage: Eukaryota; Metazoa; Chordata; Mammalia; Carnivora; Felidae
Exons: 2
Source: RefSeq, a predicted model, not a curated record
CUCCACCACCCGCCCGCUAGCUCCUCUCGAGAGGGCGGCCCUGGAGCGAGCGCGCACGCGCACAGCCGCCAUCACGGCCCCAGAGACCCACCAAUGGCGCGAAUCCGCCAGGGAGGCGGGGCGGUAGGGGCGGGGCCGAGAGGACCGGAGAGGAGCAGAGAGGCGUGCAUUGGACUAUCAACGUGAGGAGGCGGGAAAAGGCGUGUGUUUCCGAAGGAGACUAGCCAAUGGCAGCUCGGGCCUGACCUUGGUCGGCUGGCGCUGGCGCCCAGGAUCCUAAAGGUGGCAGAGACUUGGAAGAGAUUCCAGAGACCAGAGUAGCACUCUUGAGAAUGCUGCAUCAUCAACACCUGUGAUAACAGAGUAUGCUAGCAUAUGGAAAAACAGCAGUAUUAGCAACUGUGAGAAACUAAAUGUGGAGAAAUACUAAGAAUGUCUUAAUUUAUUUUGUAUUUUUAUGUAUGCACGGAGUAAUAUGCAACACAAAUAUUUUAAAGAAACUAAAAUUUCUUUCAACAAUUGCAAAAUAGAAAUUCUAAAUGAUAAAGUAUUAUGUGACCAUUUAA